Molecule: ribosomal RNA, 468 nt
Filed under: uncultured bacterium
Lineage: Bacteria
Description: partial 16S ribosomal RNA
Rfam family: Bacterial small subunit ribosomal RNA (bases 56-468)
Source: RNAcentral
GGGGGGGGGGGGGGGGGGGGUGGGGGGGGGCAGGGGGAGGGGGGGGGCGGGGCUGUGGUGGGGGGCUCGAGGGGCGGGCUGGGGAGUAACACGGGAGGAACCUGCCCUGGACGGUGUGAUAACUUCGAGAGACUGGGGCGAAUACCGGAGAUGAGCUCCUGCGGCAUGGUGGGGGUUGAAAAGUUUCGGAGGUGGGGGAUGAGCUCGCGGCUUAGCAGCUGGUUGGUGGGGUAGUGGCUUACAGCGUCUUUGACGGGUAGCCGGCCUGAGAGGGUGACCGGCCACAUUGGGACUGAGAUACGGCCCAGACUCCUACGGGAGGCAGCAGUGGGGAAUAUUGCACAAUGGGCGGAAGCCUGAUGCAGCAACGCCGCGUGCGGGAUGACGGCCUUCGGGUUGUAAACCGCUUUCGCCUGUGACGAAGCGUGAGUGACGGUAAUGGGUAAAGAAGCACCGGCUAACUACGUG